UUUAGUCAGGCAACAAGCGAGACCCAUGUCCACUGUUGCUAACGCGACCCGCAAGGGUUGGCGAGUACACGGUGGAGACCGCUGGCGCUAAGUCAGAGGAAGGGGUGGUCGACGGUAGGUCAGUAUGCCCCGAAUAUCCCGGGCUACACGCGGGCUACAAUGGACAGGACAAUGGGCUACAACACUGAAAAGUGACGUCAAUCUCUUAAACCUGUCCUUAGUUCGGAUUGAGGGCUGAAACUCGCCCUCAUGAAGAUGGAAUCCGUAGUAAUCGCAUUUCAAAACAGUGCGGUGAAUACGUCCCUGCUCCUUGCACA
RNAcentral lists this ribosomal RNA (317 nucleotides) under uncultured archaeon. RNAcentral's name for it is "bacterial SSU rRNA". It matches the Rfam family "Archaeal small subunit ribosomal RNA", at positions 1029 to 1343 of the family's 1478-position model. The record is from RNAcentral.